This 746-nucleotide long non-coding RNA is filed under the name Equus asinus (donkey). Its description in RNAcentral is "lncRNA (ENSEASG00005024585.1)". Lineage: Eukaryota; Metazoa; Chordata; Mammalia; Perissodactyla; Equidae. The record is from RNAcentral.
CGCGACCCUCGGGAGGGGGGCUCUGCCCGCCCCUCCCCGGCCCCUCCCGCCUCCUACCGAAGGGCCGGGUCGGGACCCCGCAGGCUGCCUAGAAUGCCGGAUAAGGAAACUGAGGCGUAGAUAAAUAACUUAUCAAAUAUAAGGUGGCCAAACAGACCUCCACAACUCUAGAAGAAUCGCAGAAUAUGAGAGCUGAAAGUUCUGUAUACUUUAUAGAUAUAUCAUCUAGGAGCCCAAUCUAUCAUGGAUGCAAAAACCAAGCCAGAAAAGUUAUAUAAUUUGUCCGAGGUCAAGUAAUGAAUCUACAGCAUCCUCAUCCACUAAGUUCUCUCUGCUUUUCCUCUCUACUGACUGAUUGACCCCAGGGAGUCUGGGCACGUUGAAAUCAUCUCUGCCAGUAAGGCUCCCAUCUCCUAGGAAAUCUGUCACACUUAGAGUCCAGGGACACUUGUAUACUUAGAGGCUAUUUUAGAGGACUUUGAACAACUACCAAGGAAAAGUUCUGAUUAAAAAUAAUGAUGAUUCAGAAUGAGUAGCUUUUCCCAGGAGUUUUCAAGAGUAAAACGGCUAGGAAACCAGAGCUUAACUCUUUAGGAAAAAGAAGAUCCUUGCAUUUAAGAUCUCUUGUGAAGCCUGUGUUCUUGCUUCUCCACAAUACUUUAAAAGAACAUAUUCAAUAAUAAACUUUAAGUUCUAAAAAUAUAUUGUUUUAAAUGCCCUCAUGUUUAGGCUGAAAGGUGAUAGGA